Molecule: ribosomal RNA, 227 nt
Filed under: Clostridioides difficile
Lineage: Bacteria; Bacillati; Bacillota; Clostridia; Peptostreptococcales; Peptostreptococcaceae
Description: partial 23S ribosomal RNA
Rfam family: Bacterial large subunit ribosomal RNA
Source: RNAcentral
CGCAGAGAAUAGGCCCAAGCGACUGUUUACCAAAAACAUAGGUUUCUGCUAAGUCGCAAGACGAUGUAUAGGAGCUGACGCCUGCCCGGUGCUGGAAGGUUAAGGGGAUCUGUUAGAGCAAUCGAAGCAGUGAACUUAAGCCCCAGUAAACGGCGGCCGUAACUAUAACGGUCCUAAGGUAGCGAAAUUCCUUGUCGGGUAAGUUCCGACCCGCACGAAAGGCGUAA